CCUACGGGUAGCAGCAGUGAGGAAUAUUGGACAAUGGAGGCAACUCUGAUCCAGCCAUGCCGCGUGCAGGAUUUCGGUCCUAUGGAUUGUAAACUGCUUUUAUACAGGAAGAAACGAUCCCGAC
This 124-nucleotide ribosomal RNA is filed under the name uncultured bacterium. RNAcentral describes it as "partial 16S ribosomal RNA". It matches the Rfam family "Bacterial small subunit ribosomal RNA", at positions 338 to 460 of the family's 1533-position model. The record is from RNAcentral.